AACAUCCACUCAAGGGGCAGCGGCAGUCCAAAAAGCAAACAGAAUGUUGGGAAUCAUUAAGAAAGGUAAUAGAUAAUAAGACAGAAAAUAUUAUAUUGCCUCUAUAUAAAUCUAUGAUACGCUCACAUCUUGAAUACUGCAUGCAGAUGUGGUUGCCCCAUCUC
Long non-coding RNA from Dermochelys coriacea (leatherback sea turtle), 164 nucleotides. RefSeq lists it as uncharacterized. The record is from RefSeq and is a predicted model, not a curated record. The transcript has 2 exons. NCBI's taxonomy places the organism in Eukaryota, Metazoa, Chordata, Testudines, Dermochelyidae.